RNAcentral lists this ribosomal RNA (485 nucleotides) under uncultured bacterium. RNAcentral's name for it is "bacterial SSU rRNA". It matches the Rfam family "Bacterial small subunit ribosomal RNA", at positions 27 to 506 of the family's 1533-position model. The record is from RNAcentral.
GAACGAACGCUGGCGGCGCGCCUAAUACAUGCAAGUCGAGCGAGAAGACGUAGCAAUACGUUUGUAAAGCGGCGAACGGGUGAGGAAUACAUGGGUAACCUACCCUCGAGUGGGGAAUAACUAGCCGAAAGGUUAGCUAAUACCGCGUACGCUCCUUGGACUUCGGUUCAGGGAGGAAAGCGAUACCGUGGGUAUCGCGCUCUUGGAUGGGCUCAUGUCCUAUCAGCUUGUUGGUGAGGUAACGGCUCACCAAGGCUUCGACGGGUAGCUGGUCUGAGAGGACGAUCAGCCACACUGGCACUGCGACACGGGCCAGACUCCUACGGGAGGCAGCAGUAAGGAAUAUUGCGCAAUGGGCGAAAGCCUGACGCAGCGACGCCGCGUGGGGGAUGAAGGUCUUCGGAUUGUAAACCCCUUUCGGGAGGGAAGAUGGAACGAGCAAUCGUUCGGACGGUACCUCCAGAAGCAGCCACGGCUAACUUCGU